AGAGUUUGAUCCUGGCUCAGAACGAACGCUGGCGGCGUGCUUAAGACAUGCAAGUCGAACGGUAAGGCCCCUUCGGGGGUACACGAGUGGCGCACGGGUGAGUAACGCGUGGGUAAUCUACCGCCGGGUCCGGGACAACUUCGGGAAACUGGAGCUAAUACCGGAUGAGACCACGAGAUCCCCGGAUCUCGCGGAAAAACGAUGGCCUCUGCUUGCAAGCUAUCGCCUGGCGAUGAGCCCGCGUCCCAUUAGCUAGUUGGUGAGGUAAUGGCUCACCAAGGCAGUGAUGGGUAGCUGGUCUGAGAGGAUGAUCAGCCACACUGGGACUGAGACACGGCCCAGACUCCUACGGGAGGCAGCAGUCGGGAAUUUUGGGCAAUGGGCGAAAGCCUGACCCAGCAACGCCGCGUGAGGGAUGAAGGCCUUCGGGUCGUAAACCUCUGUCGGGAGGGAAGAACGUUCCCGGGGUGAACAAUCCCGGGGGCUGACGGUACCUCCAAAGGAAGCGCCGGCUAACUCCGUGCCAGCAGCCGCGGUAAUACGGAGGGCGCAAGCGUUGUUCGGAAUCAUUGGGCGUAAAGCGCGUGUAGGCGGCUUGGCAAGUCGAGUGUGAAAGCCCGGGGCUCAACCCCGGAAGGUCGCUCGAAACUGCCUCGCUCGAGUCCCGGAGAGGAAGGCGGAAUUCCCGGUGUAGAGGUGAAAUUCGUAGAUAUCGGGAGGAACACCAGCGGCGAAGGCGGCCUUCUGGACGGUGACUGACGCUGAGACGCGAAAGCGUGGGGAGCAAACAGGAUUAGAUACCCUGGUAGUCCACGCCGUAAACGUUGGGUGCUAGGUGUCGCGGGUAUUGACCCCUGCGGUGCCGCCGCUAACGCAUUAAGCACCCCGCCUGGGGAGUACGGUCGCAAGGCUAAAACUCAAA
This 922-nucleotide ribosomal RNA is filed under the name uncultured bacterium. RNAcentral describes it as "bacterial SSU rRNA". It matches the Rfam family "Bacterial small subunit ribosomal RNA", at positions 8 to 905 of the family's 1533-position model. The record is from RNAcentral.